GACGAACGCUGGCGGCGUGCUUAACACAUGCAAGUCGAACGAUGAAGCUGGAGCUUGCUCUGGCGGAUUAGUGGCGAACGGGUGAGUAACACGUGAGAAAUCUGCCCUUGACUCUGGGAUAUCUGCGGGAAACUGUAGCUAAUACCGGAUACUUUCCCUGGUGGGCAUCCACUGGGGAAGAAAGAAUUUCGGUCAAGGAUGAUCUCGCGGCCUAUCAGCUUGUUGGUGAGGUAAUGGAUCACCAAGGCGACGACGGGUAGCCGGCCUGAGAGGGUGGCCGACCACACUGGGACUGAGAAACGGCCCAGACUCCUACGGGAGGCAGCAGUGGGGAAUAUUGCACAAUGGGCGCAAGCCUGAUGCAGCAACGCCGCGUGAGGGAUGAAGGCCUUCGGGUUGUAAACCUCUUUUAGCAGGGAAGAAGCGAAAGUGACGGUACCUGCAGAAAAAGCACCGGCUAACUACGUGCCAGCCGCCGCCGUAA
This 484-nucleotide ribosomal RNA is filed under the name uncultured bacterium. Its description in RNAcentral is "partial 16S ribosomal RNA". It matches the Rfam family "Bacterial small subunit ribosomal RNA", at positions 28 to 523 of the family's 1533-position model. The record is from RNAcentral.